GAUUGUUGUCUCGCGUGUCAUAGAGCAGGCUGUAGAAAAAACUGAGGAGAGAGCACUCAUCUUGGCUCCUUAGCUAGUUGGUAAUAUUCGUAGGCUGAGGAGCUAAAGGAGAAAUUCGCCCGAGGGGCUCAUACUAAAUUAGCUAGUUGGUAAUAUUCGUAGGCUGAGGAGCUAAAGGAGAAAUUCGCCCGAGGGGCUCACACUAAAUUAGCUAGGUUGUGAGACAAUAGCUUACCAAGGCGAUGAUCAAUAGCUGAUGCGGAGGAUGAUCAGCCACACUGAGACUGAUGCACGACCCAAACUCCUAUGGGAGGCACCAGUGGUGAAUUUUCUGAAACCGUCGAAAGCCUGACGGAGCAACGCCGCCGGGAGGUGGAAGGCCUACGGGUCAUCAACUUUUUUUUCUCGGAGAAGUAACAAUGACGGACACCUGGUAGUUGAUGGCAUGUCGUACGUUGAAAGAGUAGCACGAAAAAGUCUAGAAUAAAUC
Molecule: non-coding RNA, 490 nt
Filed under: Triticum aestivum (bread wheat)
Lineage: Eukaryota; Viridiplantae; Streptophyta; Magnoliopsida; Poales; Poaceae
Description: Bacterial small subunit ribosomal RNA
Rfam family: Bacterial small subunit ribosomal RNA
Source: Rfam by way of RNAcentral